This is a non-coding RNA of Paramuricea clavata, 315 nucleotides long. The record is from the annotation of a GenBank genome assembly. Lineage: Eukaryota; Metazoa; Cnidaria; Anthozoa; Malacalcyonacea; Plexauridae.
AAAGUUUUACAAAAUUUGCUUUAUAUACAUAUACAUAGAUUGCUAAUUUGUCCUCCAGAUGCAUCGUCACCAGCGCUGUGACGUCAUGUGCAAUGGGUCUAUAGUUAUGGUCUAUAGCCAAGAUGACGUACUUUCCGGAAGGAUGUAGUGUACGGCGAAUUGUAUGAAAAUUUCUUUAAAAUCUAAUGGUCAUUCUGUCUGAGCUCAAUUGAUAUUUUUUAAAAGAACGUGAAAGUUUAUUUAGCCCCCCCCCCAGCCUCGAUAUCCUCCCUCCCCCCCCCCACCCCUUCCUCUAAUAAACUCCCAGUGCAGAAC